UGGGGAAUUUUGGACAAUGGGCGAAAGCCUGAUCCAGCAAUGCCGCGUGUGUGAAGAAGGCCUUCGGGUUGUAAAGCACUUUUGUCCGGAAAGAAAUCCUUGGCUCUAAUACAGUCGGGGGAUGACGGUACCGGAAGAAUAAGCACCGGCUAACUACGUGCCAGCAGCCGCGGUAAUACGUAGGGUGCAAGCGUUAAUCGGAAUUACUGGGCGUAAAGCGUGCGCAGGCGGUUUGCUAAGACCGAUGUGAAAUCCCCGGGUCUCAACCUGGGAACUGCAUUGGUGACUGGCAGGCUAGAGUAUGGCAGAGGGGGGUAGAAUUCCACGUGUAGCAGUGAAAUGCGUAGAGAUGUGGAGGAAUACCGAUGGCGAAGGCAGCCCCCUGGGCCAAUACUGACGCUCAUGCACGAAAGGCGUGGGGAGCAAACAGGAUUAGAUACCCUGGUAGUCCACGCCCUAAACGAUGUCAACUAGUUGUUGGGGAUUCAUUUCCUUAGUAACGUAGCUAACGCGUGAAGUUGACCGCCUGGGGAGUACGGUCGCAAGAUU
Molecule: ribosomal RNA, 549 nt
Filed under: uncultured bacterium
Lineage: Bacteria
Description: partial 16S ribosomal RNA
Rfam family: Bacterial small subunit ribosomal RNA
Source: RNAcentral